RNAcentral lists this ribosomal RNA (1244 nucleotides) under metagenome. Its description in RNAcentral is "bacterial LSU rRNA". It matches the Rfam family "Bacterial large subunit ribosomal RNA", at positions 1564 to 2817 of the family's 2925-position model. The record is from RNAcentral.
UGAAUACGAGAUGCUACGGCGUCGAAGCAGUCUAUGUCAUACUUCCAAGAAAAGCUUGCACUGUCAUAAACAAAUAAUGCCUGUACCAUAACCGACACAGGUGGGUAGGUAGAGUAUACUAAGGGGCGCGAGAUAACUCUCUCUAAGGAACUCGGCAAAAUGACUCCGUAACUUCGGGAGGAGGAGUGCCUUAUUUAUAAGGUUGCAAUAACAAGAUCCAAGCAAGUGUUUACCAAAAACACAGGUCUCCGCUAAGUCGUAAGACGAUGUAUGGGGGCUGACGCCUGCCCAGUGCCAGAAGGUUAAAGAAGUUGGUUAGCAUCCGCGAAGCUGAUAACUGAAGCCCUGGUGAACGGCGGCCGUAACUAUAACGGUCCUAAGGUAGCGAAAUUCCUUGUCGGGUAAGUUCCGACCCGCACGAAAGGCGUAAUGAUUUGGAUACUGUCUCGGAGAGGGGCUCGGUGAAAUAGACUUGUCUGUGAAGAUGCGGACUACCUGCACCAGGACAGAAAGACCCUAUGAAGCUUUACUGUAACCUGAAAUUGAAAUUGGACUUUACUUGCGCAGUAUAGGUGGGAGGCGUUGAGAAUAUUCUUGCGGGAUUAUUGGAGCCAUCAGUGAGAUACCACUCUUGUAAUGUUAGAUUUCUAACUUUGUAUCAUUAUCUGGUCAAAGAACAGUUUCAGGCGGGCAGUUUGACUGGGGCGGUCGCCUCCUAAACGGUAACGGAGGCGCACAAAGGUUUCCUCUGAACGGGUAGAAAUCGUAUCUAGAGUGUAAAGGCAUAAGGAAGCUUGACUGUGAGACCUACAAGUCGAGCAGGGACGAAAGUCGGUCUUAGUGAUCUGACGGUGCUGAGUGGAAAGGCCGUCACUCAACGGAUAAAAGUUACUCUAAGGAUAACAGGCUGAUCUCCCCCAAGAGUUCACAUCGACGGGGAGGUUUGGCACCUCGAUGUCGGCUCAUCGCAUCCUGGGGCGGUAGUACGUCCCAAGGGUUGGGCUGUUCGCCCAUGAAAGCGGUACGCGAGCUGGGUUCAGAACGUCGUGAGACAGUCCGGUCCAUAUCCGGUGUAGGCGUUAGAAUAUUGAGAGGAGCCUUCUUUAGUACGAGAGGACCGAGAAGGACAUACCUCUGGUGUACCAGUUAUCGUGCCAACGGUAAACGCUGGGUAGCUAUGUGUGGAGUGGAUAACCGCUGAAAGCAUCUAAGUGGGAAGCCCACCUCAAGAUAAGUAUUCUCAU